This 253-nucleotide ribosomal RNA is filed under the name uncultured bacterium. RNAcentral's name for it is "partial 16S ribosomal RNA". It matches the Rfam family "Bacterial small subunit ribosomal RNA", at positions 524 to 776 of the family's 1533-position model. The record is from RNAcentral.
UACGUAGGGCGCAAGCGUUGUCCGGAAUUAUUGGGCGUAAAGCGCGCGCAGGCGGUCCUUUAAGUCUGAUGUGAAAGCCCACGGCUCAACCGUGGAGGGUCAUUGGAAACUGGGGGACUUGAGUACAGAAGAGGAAAGCGGAAUUCCACGUGUAGCGGUGAAAUGCGUAGAGAUGUGGAGGAACACCAGUGGCGAAGGCGGCUUUCUGGUCUGUAACUGACGCUGAGGCGCGAAAGCGUGGGGAGCAAACAGG